This 233-nucleotide ribosomal RNA is filed under the name uncultured bacterium. Its description in RNAcentral is "partial 16S ribosomal RNA". It matches the Rfam family "Bacterial small subunit ribosomal RNA", at positions 118 to 347 of the family's 1533-position model. The record is from RNAcentral.
UGAGCAACCUGCCCUUCACAUCGGAAUAAGCGUUGGAAACGACGUCUAAUGCCGAAUACGACCUCCUUUCGCAUGAUCGGAGGUGGAAAGCUCCGGCGGAGAAGGAUGAGCUCGCGGCCUAUCAGCUAGUUGGUGUGGGUAAUGGCCCACAAGGCGACGACGGGUAGCCGGCCUGAGGAGGGUGACCGGCCACACGUGGGACUGAGACACGGCCCAGACCUCCGUACGGGAGG